This 399-nucleotide long non-coding RNA is filed under the name Homo sapiens (human). RNAcentral describes it as "non-protein coding lnc-IL34-1:2". Lineage: Eukaryota; Metazoa; Chordata; Mammalia; Primates; Hominidae. The record is from RNAcentral.
CCUACCCCACCCCACCCCCGUAUGCAGCAUCUCUGGCGGUGCCCAGAGAGGGCACCGUGCGGUGUUCAGGCUUCUGUGAGGCCCCAGUGAGAUCCUGUGGCUGUGCCCCCAUCACCUCCACCCACUCUGCCCUCCCACUAGCUGCCCAACGGAUGAAUCAACGCCUUGGCAGAGUUUUCCAGCAGGGCCUUGCAGAGAGUGUGUGUGACCUGUGUGGCCACUGCCUUGGGGACGGGUGAGGAGUUAGCCUGGAACAUUCCAGCGUGGGCAUUAUUGUCCUGUUGCAAGUUCAGGGCAAAACCAGGAAUCCAGUUUUGUCGAUCCAAUUGAGAAAACAUUUCAUGAACAACUACUUGUGGCAUGCAUUGGCACUCGGAAUAAAGCGCACUAUUGUCACUA